ACGCUCGACACCUACGGGAGGAGCAGUGGGGAAUAUUGCACAAUGGGGGAAACCCUGAUGCAGCGACGCCGCGUGAAGGAAGAAGUAUCUCGGUAUGUAAACUUCUAUCAGCAGGGAAGAAAAUGACGGUACCUGACUAAGAAGCCCCGGCUAAUUACGUGCCAGCAGCCGCGGUAAUCUGAGGCGGGCUGGCAAGGC
This 198-nucleotide ribosomal RNA is filed under the name uncultured bacterium. RNAcentral describes it as "partial 16S ribosomal RNA". It matches the Rfam family "Bacterial small subunit ribosomal RNA", at positions 328 to 539 of the family's 1533-position model. The record is from RNAcentral.